Molecule: ribosomal RNA, 301 nt
Filed under: uncultured bacterium
Lineage: Bacteria
Description: partial 16S ribosomal RNA
Rfam family: Bacterial small subunit ribosomal RNA
Source: RNAcentral
CAGCCGCCGCGGGAAUACGUAGGUGGCAAGCGUUGUCUGGAUUUAUUGGGCGUAAAGCGAGCGCAGGCGGUCAAUUAAGUCUGAUGUGAAAGCCCCCGGCUCAACCGGGGAGGGUCAUUGGAAACUGGUUGACUUGAGUGCAGAAGAGGAGAGUGGAAUUCCAUGUGUAGCGGUGAAAUGCGUAGAUAUAUGGAGGAACACCAGUGGCGAAGGCGACUCUCUGGUCUGUAACUGACGCUGAGGCUCGAAAGCGUGGGUAGCAAACAGGAUUAGAUACCCCCGUAGUCCCUGUCUCUUAUAU